RNAcentral lists this transfer RNA (77 nucleotides) under Lachnospiraceae bacterium. RNAcentral describes it as "tRNA-Asn". It matches the Rfam family "tRNA". Rfam says of the family: Transfer RNA (tRNA) molecules are approximately 80 nucleotides in length. Their secondary structure includes four short double-helical elements and three loops (D, anti-codon, and T loops). Further hydrogen bonds mediate the characteristic L-shaped molecular structure. tRNAs have two regions of fundamental functional importance: the anti-codon, which is responsible for specific mRNA codon recognition, and the 3' end, to which the tRNAs corresponding amino acid is attached (by aminoacyl-tRNA synthetases). tRNAs cope with the degeneracy of the genetic code in two manners: having more than one tRNA (with a specific anti-codon) for a particular amino acid; and 'wobble' base-pairing, i.e. permitting non-standard base-pairing at the 3rd anti-codon position. The record is from RNAcentral. RNAcentral also lists the same sequence under 1 other name. Lineage: Bacteria; Bacillati; Bacillota; Clostridia; Lachnospirales; Lachnospiraceae.
UCCUCUUUAGCUCAGUUGGUUAGAGCACCUGACUGUUAAUCAGGGGGUCUUUGGUUCAAGUCCAAAAAGGGGAGCCA